Molecule: non-coding RNA, 129 nt
Filed under: Capitella teleta
Lineage: Eukaryota; Metazoa; Annelida; Polychaeta; Capitellidae
Source: RNAcentral
GCUGGGAGAUGUGGCGCACUCCUGUAAUCGAGCGACUUCGAGGCCGGGGAAGGUGGACGGCUUGAAAAAAAAUACAAAACCGAAAAGAUCUCAAAAAAACUGUAAAAGAAUAGUUGGACGCUUCCCUCU